Molecule: ribosomal RNA, 376 nt
Filed under: uncultured bacterium
Lineage: Bacteria
Description: bacterial SSU rRNA
Rfam family: Bacterial small subunit ribosomal RNA
Source: RNAcentral
AUACGUAGGGGGCGAGCGUUGUCCGGAAUUACUGGGCGUAAAGGGUGCGUAGGCGGCCGAUUAAGUCAGAUGUGAAAUACCAGGGCUCAACCCUGGGGGUGCAUAUGAAACUGGUUGGCUUGAGUGCAGGAGAGGAAAGUGGAAUUCCUAGUGUAGCGGUGAAAUGCGUAGAGAUUAGGAGGAACACCAGUGGCGAAGGCGACUUCCUGGACUGUAACUGACGCUGAGGCACGAAAGCGUGGGGAGCAAACAGGAUUAGAUACCCUGGUAGUCCACGCCGUAAACGAUGGAUACUAGGUGUAGGGGGCGUUAGGCCUUCUGUGCCGGAGUUAACGCAAUAAGUAUCCCGCCUGGGGAGUACGGCCGCAAGGUUGAA